CUUCCCGGUGGGUAUACGACCUAAACGGACGCGGUAAACGUGCUAAGGUAGCUAAAUUAUGGCCUAUUAAUUGUAGGCCCUGUGAAUGGUUUGACGAGUCUUCAUCUGUCUCAAGGUUAUUUUGGUGAACUUGAAUUAAAUGUGCAAAUGCAUUUAUGUGGAAGAAAGACGAGAAGACCCUGUGAAGUUAGAAAUUAGGUUUUGGCUGGGGCAGCAAAAAGGCAAAUCUAGACCUUUUUUAAUGGGUGCGUAACGACCCACAAAAGUGUGCUUAGCAGAAGGAGUUACUCCAGGGAUAACAGCGUUAUCAUCCUGAUAGUUCUUAUAGAUGGGUGGGUUUGCGACCUCGAUGUUGGCUCUGGGUUUCCGGAGGCUGAGGUGGUCUCAAAGGUUGGUUUGU
Molecule: ribosomal RNA, 400 nt
Filed under: Notochlamys hexactes
Lineage: Eukaryota; Metazoa; Mollusca; Bivalvia; Pectinida; Pectinidae
Description: partial 16S ribosomal RNA
Rfam family: Bacterial large subunit ribosomal RNA
Source: RNAcentral